UUUGGAUCCUAUAUUUGAGGAUUUAAGUUUCAGCUACUUAAAACUAAUACUACUGUUUUUUUCUUUAUAUUUUGUUAUUUUGCCUUUCUGCCAUUUCUUAAUAGUUGUUGAGAAUUCUUUCUUACACACUUCACACUUUUCAGGGAAACAAAGACUUAAGUGAUGUUACUCAUGUUGUAGUAGAUGAAGUACAUGAACACACUGUUUUGGUAUGUACUUGCUCGUGUAUGUUUUUUUCUUUAUGUGCUACAAAAUGUCUUGUUUCUCCCUAUAUGAUAGAUGAAGCACAUGCUUAAUCAUGAUUUGCCCCUUUUAGAGCAACUUUUUGCUGAUUGUUCUUAGGAGUUUGUUGAAAACACUCUAAUCAACCAGGAAGAAAGCUGAAAGUGAUUCUCAUGUAGUGUCCAUUCUCUUAUAUAUUAUUUCUUUUCUUUUCAUAUUUGCAUUUUCUUGUUGCACUGGUUAUUAUGAGAUCUGCCAAUUUAUUUCUUGUUGCUUUAACUUCAUGUCUACAACUGUUGAUUCAAGCCUAUUUGCACGAUAAUUUGGAUAUUGCCCUGUGAUUAGUGUUCAAGUAAGAACACACCCAUUUUCAACUCACUUCUUUGAAGAUGUUUAUGAGAAAAUGGAGUACUGUCUUGCUUUGUAUUCUCGUGCAUCAGGAGCAUACUUCUCACAACAUAGGGAAAAGGUUGCCUUUGCUCAAUUUUUAUUCUCAGUGAGUACACAUCGAUCAACCGUGGGAAACCCUUUUUUAGAACCUUACUGUUGGAGCGACUACUGCUGCUUUAUCUCAUUUACUAUAUCUUGUAAAUAUCCCCUGUUUUCAAACUAUAUAUUAUAUCUUGUAAAUAUCCCUUGUUUUCAAAUUCUACACUGAUCUUAUAAAUUUUCCCAGUUUUCCAUCAUAUGAGAUUAUUACUACAGAACACAUCUUAGGGUUUUGAGAGUGCUAGAUUUAUUUUCAUUGAUCCUUGUUUGAUCACAGUUGUUUAUCUGUUUGUUUUGUCUGGCUUUGUUUAUUUUUUAGUUUUGUAUGCGGGGAUCAUAAGAUGAGAAUGAAAGCGGGGAGGUGCCAUUUCUUUUCGUCAUCAGAUCCCCUUUGCUCG
RNAcentral lists this long non-coding RNA (1109 nucleotides) under Triticum aestivum (bread wheat). Its description in RNAcentral is "long non-coding RNA (TAES_LNC017931)". The record is from RNAcentral. Lineage: Eukaryota; Viridiplantae; Streptophyta; Magnoliopsida; Poales; Poaceae.